AUUCAUCCUUAUGUGAUUGGAAAUGUUAAGGUUGAUGUGCGUUCAACCGAAAAGUACUAUUCAACUAAAUGGAGUUGAAAUUUUCCAUAAUAAUGCCACCGGUGAUCUUGGUCAGAUUUAAGGCAGAAGAUGCUUCUAAAUGAAGAUUUUGGUUUGUGAAUAAGAUGUUGUGCAUUGGACUCAAUUUAAG
Molecule: long non-coding RNA, 190 nt
Organism: Beta vulgaris subsp. vulgaris (sugar beet)
Lineage: Eukaryota; Viridiplantae; Streptophyta; Magnoliopsida; Caryophyllales; Amaranthaceae
Exons: 3
Source: RefSeq, a predicted model, not a curated record